This is a long non-coding RNA of Chinchilla lanigera (long-tailed chinchilla), 1708 nucleotides long. RefSeq lists it as uncharacterized. The transcript has 3 exons. The record is from RefSeq and is a predicted model, not a curated record. Lineage: Eukaryota; Metazoa; Chordata; Mammalia; Rodentia; Chinchillidae.
CUGCGAUCAGAGCUCGGAUGGCCCCGGAGGCGAUGUCGCGCUUUCUGGAAGGAGCCAUGGAUGCUGCAGAACAUGAAAGGAGGGACAAACUGGCUUAGGUGGCAUCCAAACAGUGAGGCUACUUGGCUGAGUGUCACUGUGAGAUUACUUGAGGAAUGAACAUGUGAAAGACAGGAGACCCAAGAGCCCUGUGCCAAUCAGAUGUGUGGGUGAAAAUACUACAGACCUCACAAUAGAAAUCAGUGCUCUCCUGAAGUUGCCUGUGAGACAUGAAUGGACAGAAGAGAUCUGCAUGUUUGGUCUUUGGAAAGCUGAGAGGAGGUGGUGAUGUUUGGGGUGAGCAGGCUCAAGACUUGGAUGGGAUGCUUUUUCUCUGCUUUCUCCCUUUUAAAACUUAAUAGAUUCCUGGCAUUUUAGCUUCAAAUAGGGUGUUCCAAUGAAUGGUGGUGGUUGUGAGGAAUGUCCACAAUUUCAUUAGAGCUGUCAUAUACGGCAAUUCCAUUCUUCAGGGAGAAAGAAGGUGGAGAUUUGGCUGCACAAAUGACCUCAGCUGAGUUCCUCAUCCCUUCAGAAGCCAGAAGGACAUGAGCAUCUCCGUGCAGACUACUGAUAUGGAGCUCUGACAUGAUCAUAAGUGCUUGCCAGGGUGCUUGAUUCAAUGUGUUCAGAUCACAGACUUGAGCUUCUUCAUUUCCUGCAUCCUCUUGGAUGGUAGUGCUAGUGUCUGUGGUGGUGAAGAUGGAGGGUGGAAGAUGGAGGCUCUGGGAUCUGCCUGUGGUAUUGUUGAGCCCACUUCUGAGUGUGUCUGGGUGGGUCACAGAGGUGUGACUAUGGGAUCUAUAUCUGGUCCCUCACCCUUUCUUCUUUGGCAAUACUCUGCUUUCCAGCUGCCUUGAAGGAAGCAUCUUUCCCUGCUGUGCCCUUCUGGCAUGGUAUUCUUGCCUUAGAGCCAGGUAAUUAUGGACUGAAUCCCCUGAAAUUGUGAGCCACAUUAAGCUUUUCUUCCUUAAAACUCUGGGUGUCAGUUGUUGUAUUCAGCAAUGGGAAAGCUGACUAAUAGUGCGUUACUAUCUCUUGAGAAUGCUAGGUACUAUUGUAUUUAUGCAGCUUCUCAGAGCUCAUAACAAUCCCUUCAGCUGCAAGGAAAAGGCCUUCAUGAUCAUGAAAUUAGCAUCUCCAUUAAGACAGGGCCUGCUGCAGUAUGGAGCCUGAAUGUCCCUAGUAGCUUGUGUGUCAAGGCUUGACUCCAGGCCCAUAGUGCUCCUGGGCAGUGCUGAACUUUUCAGGGUAGGUCCUGCGGGAGGGUAUCGGCAUCCUGGAGGUGUGCCUUCGCAGAGGACACUGGGACCUGCACCUUUCUUCUUUCUUUGCAUUUCUGCCACCAUGGGGUGAAUAGGCCUCCUCUACUACAUGCUGCUGCUGUGAUGCAUAGCCUCACCACAGGCCCCAAGGCACGGGACAACAGGCCAUAGAUCAAAACCUUUGAAACCAUGAGCCAAAAUAGUCCUUUCCUCUUUUUAAGUUGAUUAUCUCAGGCAUUUUGUCACAGGAGUACAAAGCUGACUAAUAUGGGGCCUCAUGACUUAUUUAGUGCUAUAGCCAGUAUAUACCACACUGCACAUUGAUUCAAAUGCACAUUGCAUUUAAUAAAUAGCUGAUUUACUGAUUCCACAAAUGUGAUGAAGUGUACCGAAAAACCAGAAUAUUU